CGGCAAGCCUGAUCCAGCAAUGCCGCGUGAGUGAUGAAGGCCUUCGGGUUGUAAAGCUCUUUCGCACGCGACGAUGAUGACGGUAGCGUGAGAAGAAGCCCCGGCUAACUUCGUGCCAGCAGCCGCGGUAAUACGAAGGGGGCUAGCGUUGUUCGGAAUACUUGGGCGUAAAGGGCGCGUAGGCGGUGUGUCAAGUCAGGCGUGAAAGCCCCGGGCUCAACCUGGGAACCGCGCUUGAGACUGGCACGCUAGAGUUCGGGAGAGGAUGGUGGAAUUCCCAGUGUAGAGGUGAAAUUCGUAGAUAUUGGGAAGAACACCGAUGGCGAAGGCAGCCAUCUGGACCGACACUGACGCUGAGGCGCGAAAGCGUGGGGAGCAAACAGGAUUAGAUACCCUGGUAGUCCACGCCGUAAACGAUGAGUGCUAGACGUUGGGGCCCUUAGGGCUUCGGUGUCGCAGCUAACGCGUUAAGCACUCCGCCGUGGGGAGUACGGCCGCAAAGGUUA
Molecule: ribosomal RNA, 506 nt
Filed under: uncultured Pseudomonadota bacterium
Lineage: Bacteria; Pseudomonadati; Pseudomonadota
Description: bacterial SSU rRNA
Rfam family: Bacterial small subunit ribosomal RNA
Source: RNAcentral